ACAUACCACUUGUUGCCUCGGCGGAUCAGCCCGCUCCCGGUAAAACGGGACGGCCCGCCAGAGGACCCCUAAACUCUGUUUCUAUAUGUAACUUCUGAGUAAAACCAUAAAUAAAUCAAAACUUUCAACAACGGAUCUCUUGGUUCUGGCAUCGAUGAAGAACGCAGCAAAAUGCGAUAAGUAAUGUGAAUUGCAGAAUUCAGUGAAUCAUCGAAUCUUUGAACGCACAUUGCGCCCGCCAGUAUUCUGGCGGGCAUGCCUGUUCGAGCGUCAUUUCAACCCUCAAGCACAGCUUGGUGUUGGGACUCGCGUUAAUUCGCGUUCCCCAAAUUGAUUGGCGGUCACGUCGAGCUUCCAUAGCGUAGUAGUAAAACCCUCGUUACUGGUAAUCGUCGCGGCCACGCCGUUAAACCCCAACUUCUGAAUGUUGACCUCGGAUCAGGUAGGAAUACCCGCUGAACUUAAGCAUAUCAAUAAGCGGAGGAAUU
Molecule: ribosomal RNA, 488 nt
Filed under: Fusarium oxysporum
Lineage: Eukaryota; Fungi; Ascomycota; Sordariomycetes; Hypocreales; Nectriaceae
Description: eukaryotic LSU rRNA
Rfam family: 5.8S ribosomal RNA (bases 120-273)
Source: RNAcentral